GUCCUUUAGAUAUUAAUUUAAGGUCUAACCUGCCCACUGAAUUAUUUUUAAAUGGCCGCAGUAAUUUGACUGUGCAAAGGUAGCAUAAUCAUUAGUUUUUUAAUUAAAAGCUUGUAUGAAAGGUUGGACGAAGUAAAAUCUGUCUCUAAUUAAUUUAAUUUAGAAUUUAACUUUUAAGUCAAAAGGCUUAAAUAUAUCUAAAAGACGAGAAGACCCUAUAGAUCUUUAUAAUUUUAUUAUUAAAUUUGAUUAUGAAUUUUUAAAAUUUUAUUAAUAAAAUUAUUUUAUUGGGGUAAUAUAAAGAUUAAAAUAAUUCUUUUUUUUUAUUUACAUUGAUUUAUGAUUUUUAUGAUCCAAUUAUAUUGAUUAAAAGAUUAAGUUACCUUAGGGAUAACAGCGUAAUUUUUUUAGAGAGUUCUUAUCGAUAAAAAAGUUUGCGACCUCGAUGUUGGAUUAAAGAUUAUUUUAGGUGCAGAAGUUUAAAAAUUUGGUCUGUUCGACCAUUAAAUCUUUACAUGAUCUGAGUUCAGACCGGUGUAAGCCAGGUCGGUUUCUAUCUUUAGAAAAUUAAAAUAUUUUAGUACGAAAGGACCAAUUAUUUGAUAUAUUAAUAUUUAUAUUUUGAUUAUUAUUAA
RNAcentral lists this ribosomal RNA (635 nucleotides) under Nebria fulgida. RNAcentral describes it as "partial large subunit ribosomal RNA". It matches the Rfam family "Bacterial large subunit ribosomal RNA", at positions 1893 to 2736 of the family's 2925-position model. The record is from RNAcentral. Lineage: Eukaryota; Metazoa; Arthropoda; Insecta; Coleoptera; Carabidae.